Molecule: ribosomal RNA, 457 nt
Filed under: uncultured bacterium
Lineage: Bacteria
Description: bacterial SSU rRNA
Rfam family: Bacterial small subunit ribosomal RNA
Source: RNAcentral
GAUUAACGCUGGCGGCGUGCAUAACACAUUCAAGUCGAACGGAGUAUAGAAAUAUACUUAGUGGCGGACGGGUGAGUAACGCGUGAGUAAUCUACCUUCGGGUGAGGGAUAACAACCGGAAACAGUUGCUAAUACCUCAUGACAUAUAUCUUUCGCAUGGGAGAUAUAUCAAAGGCUUGCUGCCCGAAGAUGAACUCGCGUCCGAUUAGAUAGUUGGCGGGGUAAUGGCCCACCAAGUCGACGAUCGGUAGCCGGACUGAGAGGUUGAACGGCCACAUUGGAACUGAGAUACGGUCCAGACUCCUACGGGAGGCAGCAGUGGGGAAUAUUGGGCAAUGGGCGAAAGCCUGACCCAGCGACGCCGCGUGAGGGAAGAAGAUCUUCGGAUUGUAAACCUUAGUCAACAGGGAAGAAGAAAGUGACGGUACCUGUGGAGGAAGCCACGGCUAACUACGUG